Molecule: long non-coding RNA, 1432 nt
Filed under: Homo sapiens (human)
Lineage: Eukaryota; Metazoa; Chordata; Mammalia; Primates; Hominidae
Description: HSALNT0269519
Source: RNAcentral
AGAUCACUUGAGCCCAGGAGUUUGAGACCAGGCUGGGCAACACAUUGAGACCCCAUCUCUGCAAAACAUUUUUUUAAAAAAUUAGCUGGACAUUGUGGCUCAUGCCAGUAGUCCUAGCUACUUGGGAGGCUGAGGCAGGAGGAUCACUGGAGCCCGGGAGGUUGAGGCUGCAGUGAGCUAUGAUCAAGUCACUGCAUUCCAGCUUGGGUGACAGAAGGAGACCCCAUGUCUAAAGAAAAACAAAGAAGGAAAAAAAAUACACAAUUUAAGUUCAAUCACAGUGUGUUAGAGGGAAAAACAAUCUGUGUGGUAGGAAAGUGGGUGACUGGGCAGGAAAGUGCAAUGAAGGUGGGAGAGAGGAGGGCAGAAGAAACCUGUCUCAGGUGAGGGCCUUGGAGCUAAAGCCUUAGCUAUGAAGAAGAUCUGAGGGGACGAGCUCCAGGCAGAGGGAGCGAGGAGCUAUGCAAAGGCCCUGCGGAGAGAUUCACUGGGAGAACUUAAAGGGCAGAGAGCAGGCCAACGUUGAUGGAGAGAUGAGCGGGGACGUCUAUCGGCCACAGUGAGGAAACAGGACUCUGUUCUAAGGCAGUGAUUCCAGUGGGGGCGAUUUUGCCCCUCAAAGGACAUUUGGCAAUGUUGGGAGACAUUUUUGGUUGCCACCCAUUUGGGGGCAGUUGCUCCUGGCAUCUAGUGGGAAGGGGCCAGGGAUGCUGCCUAUGUCCUGCAAAGCACAGGACAGCCCCUACCACAGAGAACUCAUCAGUCCCAGAUAUUGAUAGUGCUGAGGUUGAGAAACGCUGGUCUAAGAGUGGUGGGAGGCCAUCAGAGGGUCUGAAGCAAGGGAAGGAUGUCGUGUGUGUUAAAAAAGGAGAGUGCAGUGUGGGGAGGGAGAGUGGAGGUAAGGAGAUGGGGAAGAUGUUGCACUUGUCUCAGUGAGAGAUGCUUCUAGAUCCAGGAGGCAGACCUCAAGGAUGGAGAGAAGGCAGAUCCUUUGAGAUUGUUCCUAUUCAAGUAAGCUAUGGUCAAACCUGUUUUGGAAAUGUUGUACACUGUACCAAGAUAAGCAGUCUAGCGUGAAUCCCAGAGCAAGGCUAUUUAAGUUCAGAUCUUGGCUUUGCCUCUUGUUAGCUGUGUGAUCUUGGGCAGGAUUCUCAACCUCUCUGUGCCCCAGUUUUUCCAUUUCUAAAGUGGAAUAAUAGGGUCCAUCUCAGAGGGCUAAUGUGAGGAGUAAAUUAGUUAAUAUACAUAUAAAUAAGCUAAUAGAUGACUAGAACACUGCGAAUACUCAAUAAGCAUUAUCUGGUAUUAGUACAUACUCCUUUUGGGAGUAUCACUAGUUAUAUCCACAAAUUAAAGUCUCUGAGAAGACCUGUAUCAAAACUGUUGCUGGACUUGCUUAGCCUGCAUUCACUAAACUUAUAUUUUCAUGACA